UCCUCUCCUCUUCCUCCUCCUCCUUUUCUCUUCUCCACUGUCCUCCAUCUCUCCUCUUAGCUCAUUCUCGACUCUUUCUCCUUGACGACAGAAGUAAGCCCUAAUCCUGUGGCCUUAGUUUCUGUUUAUUUUCCCUCCGUCUCUACACCUUGAACCAGCCAGGGACAGUGCGGACCAAGGAGGAACGGACAGAGGGGAAAAAAAGGUACAGACACCCUGAAACCGGACCCCACCCCUUCCCCCUGACUGGCAGUCUCCAUUUCCAAUUCCCAUGGAAGCCAAAGCUAAGAGUGGUGCCGGGGCACCAAAGGCAGCCCCUGCCCCCAAGGCUGAGAAACCCACGGAGAAGGCUCCACCCCAGAAAGAGAACCCCGCCCCUGCCGAUCCUCCCCCAGUAGCCCCUGCCCCGGAGAAGCCCCCGGAGGACGGAGCAGCCGACCAGGACGGGGUGACUGACAAGGACGCAGCACCAGAGGGCGCUGACGCCGGGGAAGCCGGCACAGACUCCCUGGAGAGCCUGAAACCCUUCCUUAUCGGUGGGGCUGUCAUCGCAGUUGCUGCUAUCCUGCUGGGGGCGCUGUUGUUAGCACGGAGGAAUUGAGAGCGUCGCUCAGAGUCUACUGGUGGAUUAGUUAGCAGCGUGUUUGCGGAUUGGUUAAUUUAUUGGUUAUGGAGUGACUGUAUCUUGGGGUAUGGGUGGAAGGGAGCAGAGAGUUUGCAUUCACUCAUAUUAGAAGUGUAGUUCAGUUUAGCUGGUAGUUAGAAUGACUUCUGGUGUGUACAAAAUACAGAUAUAUUCAGGCCUGUACACUAAUACAAGCAUAUACAUGCACUAUAAGUUGUACCACCCUGCACACACAAACAUACCCACUUAUCUACAUGUAUACACACCUGCUAAUGACAUAAAUAGUUGCCCACUUUGAAGCUUAGCUGUUAAACAAGAACAUGUACACAAGCAUACAAUGCAUUAACACUUGCUAAUGAGAACUUUAUCACAAUUGAAGCUGAAUGCCAUGGAAGCAAACAUUCCUGUAUCACAAUAGUCAUCAAUUCUUAACCUACUAACCCAGUAUUCUGCUGGCCAAGCAAUUUCAACAUUAAUAUUGACAUCAACCACCAAUGUUUCACAGCAAAAUUAAUCUAGUAAAAUGAAUGAUUUUGAUCACCCAAAUGUAGUUCUGCUUGGGCCUCAGUUUCAGUGGUAAAUUAAUCCAUGAUAAUGUGUAGCUUGACAUUCAUUCAUACACAGGAAAAAAAAAAUAGCAUGCAAUGGGCCACUUCAAAUUUUUUGUAAGUCCAUUGCCGGGUCCAGAGGGCCAUUGUACCACAGGUUACGGACCAGGUGUCACUCAGACGUUACUGGGUCUCACACUCAAACUGAUGUCUAAUAUUAAAGAGAUGUCACUUAAAGUCAAUGCAGAGUCAAGCUGGUGAAACACAAUGAGACCUGGAAGCGUUCCAGGAAGGAUGGAGGGUGCAGUGGUGAGAUCUGUGCCAGGAAAGAGAAGAUGGGUGUUGGCUGUUAGGUGAGACUGACAUCAACACACCACAGAUAUGCUCCAUCAUCCAUUUGGAGCUUCCGAUUCUGAAGUCCAUGGCAAAACAAUUUCCCUCUUAUAAUAUUUACAUUACGAUAACACGUAAAUCUAAGAUAAUAUGUAAAUAUAUGGUUCAACUACCAACGGCCCCCUUGCAGAAGCUGUGGAUUGACCAAUAUCUGUAUAUUUAGUGGGUCAGUAACAGCACACUUUUACAUUACAGAAAUGUAGCAGACACUCGUAUUCAGAACUAGUUACACACCUUUCACUUUUUUUUUACAUAGUAUUCAAAUAUUGAAAGUAUAUUAAUGUCAAAACAAAGAAGAAAUUACACAUAAUAUAUGGUCUGCACAAUUCCUGCCCAAAAGAUCCAGUAUACGUUGACAAUUUAACCUUUAAGCAAAACUGUUUGCUUAAGGUUGUGGAGGUCUACCACAAAAUGCAAUACAUGGGUAAAGGCAAUCUAUGCAUGGUGGGCCAUUAAGGGAGAAAAGAUUAAGUGAAUUAGAUCCAUGCCAGAAAGUAAAUGGUUUCAAGCCAGGACCUUGAGGUACACCUUUUAUCCAAUUUUUUUUGGUUAUUUUAUGCUGUAAUUUUGGUAUAUUACAGCAUAAAAUAUUUCACAAUUAAGCAUGACCAAUUGGAUAAUUUGUAGCAUCAACUGACCUGACUGUCUCAUUGUUUAUGAUGCAAAACACUAUUUGCAUUCAUGUAUUAUAAUACAUAUUAGGCAAGGCCUUUGUGAGAUUUUGGACUAUGAUUUUACUACAGGCUUUUGUAGUAUUACAGUUUCUAUAAUGCAAUAUAACCAGAAGAGGGCUUUUUGUUCACCCUCUUGAAAUACAAUCCCAUUGUGGUCAGGUUGUUGUAAUGAAAACAGACCAGCAGACAACAGAUGGAUUUGAUAUUUUACACCUUCACAGUAACCAAGAUUGACAGAGGUUCAUUUAGGACCAUGUAUGUAUGCUAAAUAACAAAGAUAAAUAUAUAGAAAGUUUAAGGUUUGUUGUUGUACUGCAUGUGAAAUAUGAGUAUCUCUCCUCUAUUGGUCCUAGUGGCUGCCAAUUUCCACAUGUCUGUCCUGUCCCUUCAUAAGAAACACCUCUGCCCCAAUGCACCUUCUGCAUGGUUCAGAUUUUAAAAAAACUUGACCAAUCACAGGCCUCUCUGCAAAGGGGCACUUGGCUCACUAUAAUAUACCUCUAGCACAGACAUCACACACACACGCAUGCACAUACAUGCACACACACACACACACACACACACUCACCAUGUGUAGGCAUCCUGUAAACCCAAAUAGCAUUCAACCUGCCACUUGUCACUACAACACAGAUAAGAAAAACUGUUCCAGUUUCUCUCUUAAUUUCCUUCUUCUCCUUCUUCUUCUUCUUCCUCUUCUUCUCCAGUGCGUAUAAAUGCAAUAAUUCGGGUAGGACUUCACGUUUUAGCACACAUAGUGAUUUGAUGAUGAACACAACAAAGACAAGGAUGGUGACUAUUGCGCUUGAUAUAUCCACUCAGUUUUCCUGUACUAUAUAUAUUUUUCUCCUCUGUUUCCUCUUCCACCCCCAGUGCUCUCUAUAAAA
Anguilla rostrata (American eel) is the source of this 3124-nucleotide long non-coding RNA. RefSeq lists it as uncharacterized. The record is from RefSeq and is a predicted model, not a curated record. The transcript is spliced from 2 exons. Lineage: Eukaryota; Metazoa; Chordata; Actinopteri; Anguilliformes; Anguillidae.